GGGGAGGUGCCGGAGUGGCCGAACGGGAUCGCCUGCUAAGUGAUUGUCGGGUUAACCUCGACCGAGAGUUCGAAUCUCUCCCUCCCCGCCU
RNAcentral lists this transfer RNA (91 nucleotides) under Chloroflexi bacterium HGW-Chloroflexi-5. RNAcentral's name for it is "tRNA-Ser". It matches the Rfam family "tRNA". Rfam says of the family: Transfer RNA (tRNA) molecules are approximately 80 nucleotides in length. Their secondary structure includes four short double-helical elements and three loops (D, anti-codon, and T loops). The record is from RNAcentral. Lineage: Bacteria; Bacillati; Chloroflexota.